CAGCGGGAAGCCAUAUGGCGACAUAGAGCGGAACCCGAAAACCUGUCUCAGUUCGGAUUGGAGUCUGCAACCCGACUCCAUGAAGCUGGAUUCGCUAGUAAUCGCGCAUCAGCCACGGCGCGGUGAAUACGUUCCCGGGCCUUGUACACACCGCCCGUCAAGCCAUGGAAGCCGGGAGUGCCUGAAGUGCGUGAGCGCAAGCAGCGCCCUAAGGUAAAACCGGUGACUGGGGCUAAGUCGUAACAAGGUACC
RNAcentral lists this ribosomal RNA (252 nucleotides) under uncultured bacterium. RNAcentral describes it as "partial 16S ribosomal RNA". It matches the Rfam family "Bacterial small subunit ribosomal RNA", at positions 1240 to 1500 of the family's 1533-position model. The record is from RNAcentral.